Pneumocystis wakefieldiae is the source of this 107-nucleotide non-coding RNA. The record is from the annotation of a GenBank genome assembly. NCBI's taxonomy places the organism in Eukaryota, Fungi, Ascomycota, Pneumocystomycetes, Pneumocystales, Pneumocystaceae.
CCGCUCUUGGUCUAGUUGGUUAUGGCCCUCGGCUGUAAAGGUCGAUUUUGAAUAUAAUUAACAAAUGAGAUACCGAGUGGUCCCCGGUUCGAUUCCGGGAGAGCGGA